CUAGGAAAUACUCUUGUGCA
RNAcentral lists this non-coding RNA (20 nucleotides) under Arabidopsis thaliana (thale cress). The record is from RNAcentral. Lineage: Eukaryota; Viridiplantae; Streptophyta; Magnoliopsida; Brassicales; Brassicaceae.